Long non-coding RNA from Siniperca chuatsi (mandarin fish), 1457 nucleotides. RefSeq lists it as uncharacterized. NCBI's taxonomy places the organism in Eukaryota, Metazoa, Chordata, Actinopteri, Centrarchiformes, Sinipercidae. The transcript is spliced from 2 exons. The record is from RefSeq and is a predicted model, not a curated record.
AUCAUAUCAAUCCGUGGCAAAAAAAAAACACAUUUUCAAAAUCCUUUUUUAAAUCAAUAUUUGGUGUCAAAUGAUUGAUUUCUUUAGUAAGUGUAAUAAGCGGGAUACGCUGUACAUUAUCCCUUACUUAAAGUUUUUAAGGCCAAAAUCACUCCACUCUCUCCCAUUGGAGUGAUGUUUGUGUCAGCUGAUGAAGGUCUGUCCGGUCUGUCAGCUCUGCGUUUGGUCUCCAGCAGCUGCUGAGGGAAACAUCUGGCUCUUCAGCUGCUAGAUGCUCCGCUAUGUUCACCAGCUGCUCUCUGACUGCGUCUGCCUGCUGUCUGCUGCCGAGCAGGUAGUGCACAGCGGGUUUAUCGGCUGUCUGCUGCUGCUGGAGACGAGGUUGAUGAACCCACAGACAACGAUCACCCAGAUUUAUACAGUACAAUCAGCGAUAAAAGCAGCGAAACAUAUGCAGGUACGAACAGAGCCUGCGCUACGUAGAGACGAGAGAGACGGCUCUUACGACGCACAGAAUCAUCAAUAGCAUGACAACAAUCAACAAAUCAACAGAUUGCUAGGCCCGGUGAAGUGUGGAUAUCAUGCACAGUCCUGGUUCAGUCUCAGCGCCGUCCUCAGCGUCGUCUCCGGGUGUGGCCUGCAGCGGUUUGAACUGCUUUCUCAGCUCUCUUUUUUCAUUCUGACUACUUUUGUCACUUUUUGUGUGAACAACUGAGUGCAACUCUACAAGGAAAGAUUGUCUUCAAGGAGAGAGUGUCAGAAAGUGUGCACCGGCAUUCCCAUAUUUGAAGGAUUAUCUGACUCCUCUCUGUGUCGGCAGGUUUUUCACCUUCCAGUGUGGCCGUUCAGAACAGACUGCGGAUCAGACAAAACAAGACAUUCUGAAAAGUCACCAUGGGUUUUGGGAACUUGAAUUUGAACUUGAACCUGAAUUUGCUAAUAUUUUACAGACCAAAGAGAAAAUUAUUGGAAGAUUAUUCGAUAAUGACAAAAAUUGCUAGUUGCAGCCCUAUUCCUUUCAAUUCAACAAUACUGACUUAUUAGAAGCAUUUUUGCGACUGAUUUAGGUGAAUCAGUGUUGUUAGGAGACCUUAUGAAACAAAUAACAGCUAACAAAGAACAAGCUAAAAACAUAGAAAUGCAUCUGUAGUGCUGUGAUUUUUGUUGUGUGAAAACACAGAUGUGAGGGAGUUGAGCAAUUGACUGAAUAGUCCCUGUUUAGGGGUCACUUGUGUUCAACACAUUCAUUCAUGAGACACAAAACUUAUGUUGCCAUGGUAGUUGUGACAGAAUGGAAAUCAAAGUGCGUCUGUUGCAGCAACGGGGAAAUGAAUCGAUGCUUCCUUUUUAAAAAAACGAGAGUUAGAGUCGAUUUACAGAAGUGUGUCGGGAUGUGUCAUCGGUUUCUCUUGCUCACCAUAAAAAAAAAACCAAACAGUAAUUCAUCUAUCAUGAAG